Molecule: long non-coding RNA, 4199 nt
Organism: Sapajus apella (tufted capuchin)
Lineage: Eukaryota; Metazoa; Chordata; Mammalia; Primates; Cebidae
Exons: 2
Source: RefSeq, a predicted model, not a curated record
AGCCCCAGUCCAGAUGCAGGCACCCUGCGGGGUUCGCUCAGGGCGGUCCGGCCCUCUCUAAAGGGCGAACCAAGGGAGAAAGCCCUUUUCAGUCCCUAACAGGCCUGGGUUGGGGACACCAUUCAGGGCCCCAUGUUCUAAUUUUGGAGAGAGCGAAGAGGAGUCGUCCCAGUCUCCUUUGACCCACUAGUGAAUGCAGCAUCCAGCAGACAGUCCGGGGCCUGCUCUGCCCCCUCCCCACCACUGCCAGGGGUCACUGGGUCACCAGCAGAGGUAGAAAAGGUCCUGUGUGUCCCAAGUCCAGUGACUCAACCUCUCUGGGCCCUGAUUUCAUUCUCUUCAACGGGAGCUGCAGCAGGGGAUUCACUGUUUCCGUGUCUUUGUUGUACAUGUGUAGAGAUACGUUGUAUUUAUUUAAUAGGCAGGCUGUUGUAAAUGCUUUGCAUACGUCACUCAAUUGCUCCUCCCAGUAACUAUAGGUUAAGUGUGGUGACCAGCCUCGUUUCACAGACAGCAAAGAAGUGGCAUUGACUGUCGUCGGGCUCCAGGCCCUGCUCUUGACCACCGGGCUUCAAAAUUCUACAAGUUUCUGACUUCUGGGCAGUUUACAGCUUCCUCACACCAUUCUCAGCCUGGGGACAAAGGUGCCCGGUGGUCCCCUCCACCCACUGGGACGCUGAAAUGUAAGUAAAACCGGGCUUCCUCUUGGCAAGGAAGAGGGCCAUGCGUUAUAAAUAAACGCAAGAAGAAGGCCUCAGCGCAGCGCAGCUCUCCGGAAUCCCUGGGGGAUAUUCCAGGGCUCAAGGUCCAAGGGUUAACAGGAAAUCUUCAUUGCCAGAGAUGAGGGACUUUGGGCCGUCAGCCUGGCCCAGAGGAAUGCUAUGUCAGCAAAACUGUCCCGAAGGAAUGUUGGGGGUGGGGCAGGGGGCUUCUUGGCGCCUGGCAUUUUUAAUACCUGGACAGAGGAGGGGGGCUGAUUAGGAAAAGUUCAAAAGGCAAUUCCUGUUGAAUUGCAUCCUUGCAGAGUUAGAGAGACUGUCAGGUCCCACACAGACCAAGAGGCUGCUGGUUAGACACUGCCAGGCCUGGACAUCAGGUCUGCUGAUGAGUUAAAUGUGGGUUCCCCAGGGCUGCACAGGUGCUGUCCUUACCGCUGCUUCAAAUGCGUUUCGGGCUCAUCUUUGUGGCCGCGGCCCCAGUGUCACCCUCAGGCCUCCCUUUCUUCUCUAGAUCAGGUGCUGUGCCGCACUUCCCCAUCCCAGCUCCCCUGCACAGGAGUUUGCCAUUGAUUUUAUUGAUUUUUUUCUGUCCACUGCUCCUGUCUGCCCCUUCCCCACCCCCCAGAAUCCUGGGUGCUCCUUCCCGAGGGCAGGAUCCAGGUCUGUCUUGUGCACCGGAGAUCUGGGGCCUGGCUCAGUGCCUGAGUCCCACACACCUGGGUCUCAGUCCUGUUUCUUCCCUUGCCAGCUGUGUGAGCCUUGGGCGGACUUCUUACCACACGACCUCUCGGUUUUCUGCUCUGCACAAUGGGAGUUGUUAAAUAAAUGAGGAUUUGAGCACAGGGAUGGGGUAAGUGACCGUGCAUGGGAGUUGCCCAUUCUUUUUUCCAGUGGUUAAGGAGGUUCUCCGGCUACCUGUCUGCACUGCCAUGUGCUAUGGAGGGCCACUGUGAUGAGGUCACACACAGAGUCUGAGGGAAGAGGACCAUGGGGUCAGCCAGACCAAAAGAGAGAGGUAGGGCUUGCUUGGCUGACCUGGGAUCCUCCAGGAGGUAUUCUGAGUAUGCACCAUACUUACGCAGGGGUGAGUGUGUGCAAGUGUGAAUGUGCAUGAUUCUGCAUUUGUUAGAGUGGAUACGUGUGUGUACAUGUGCGUAGUUAUAUAUGUAUGUGCAACCUAUGUGCGAGCAUGUGAGUAUGCAUGUGCGUGUGCAUUUGUGUGUGCAUGAGUUCACCUGUGUGCUUCUGGGUGUGUGCCUGUGUGUGCAUGUCAAGUGGGCCAGGAGUAGGAGUGGGGGCAUCCAGCUGGGUGUCUGUCUUCCCGUCAGUGACCCAGUGACUCAGGAAAAUCCCCUGGAACACAUCUUGGGAGCCAGGAAGCAGAGUGAACACAGAUCAGAGGAGAAGGCGGGUGAUGAUGGCCACUCCUCUGGGUGGAUGACACGGGGGCAGGGCCGCUGCCACAGCUUGACACACCAGAUUGACAUCACACCUCUGCCAUUUACUAGCUGUGUGGCUUUUGGCUUGCUCCUUUACCUCUCUAAGCCUCAGUUUCCCCAUCUCUCAGGUGUGCAGGGAGAGUGAACUGAGCCAAUCCCGGUAAAGCACUUUGUGCCGGGAUGCAGAAUAGCAGUGUUGUAAACACUCGAAGCUUGUGUAAACAUUAAACAUCCAGCACGCCCGUUCAGUGUAAAGCACAUGCCAGGACCUCUGCUUUGCAGGUGCCAACUCAAGGAAUCUUUCCCAGAAGCCCAUGAGGUAGAUUCUGAGGUACCCACAAGUUUAGGGGUGAGGAGACUAGGGUGCAGGAGAGGGAAGUCACAGGCCGAGGGUCACACAGCGUGGUGGAGCUGGGACUGGCUCCCGGGCUACAUGCCUCUGAAACCCCCUGCUUUGCUAGCUAGCGAGAUUCACUUUGCUUUCAGUCCUAAGAUGCCAGGACAGGAACAGCCUAGAGUCUGAUCUCCCCUCUGCUCACAUGUGCCCCCAGUUUCACACCAAAGGAAACAAGACCUCACAUGUGCCUGUCUGGAUACAAAACAGGCCAAGUUUGUGCCAGGAGAUGAGAAGAAGUGCCAGGGUGCAUUGGCAUGAACUUCACACGCCAAAGUAGACUUGAAGUCCCUGUUUCUAAUGGAAAUGGGCAAAAGGCUCAAACAGGACUAAGCUGUCCAAACAUCCCUGCCAAGAGCUGCUGACGCCAAAGCCUUACCAUCCCCAGCAGAGCCAUCUCUUGGCUUCCCUCUAAGCCCUACACCCCACCCUGCAGCUGGAGAGAGGGUGCCAGGCUCCCUCCAGACCACACACUGCACAGCCCAGCUCUCCAUCCUUCAGUCGUAGGACUUGAAAAGCAUUGGCAGAUGCUCACAGACAGACUCUGCAUUGGGAGCAGGUAAAAAAUGCCCACCUGGAUUCUGCAGGAGACAGGAGGCUGUCAGCAGGGAGCACCUGGACGCAUCUCAGAUUUGCAGCUACCUGUAGGUUCGUCUUAGCCCAGAAACCGCAGGAAUCUGCCCUCAUCCCACCCACGAGAGCUCAUUUCCAGCCUCCAAACUUAACCGCACAUUGUUUUGUGUCUCUGUCUCUGUGCCUGCCUGUCCCACUGGGGCAGAACCUGAGCUGGCUUGCCUGGCCCUACCCAGUUUCACAAAGCUGUGGACAUGGUUGGGGACCAAUCAGUGCUUGAACCAGGGACACUGCUAGACUCUAUCCAAAACCUCACUCACUGUGCCUUCCAAUUCCAGAAUCACUCAGCUGCCCGGCCCAGCUUCUACUGCGCCAUCUUUUAUUCCUCCUGAGUGCCAUCAAUCAAGAUUAAACUCUGCCAUGUGCCCCUGGCUUUUCCCAGCCCUGCAACCCGGCUUCCCUUCUCACUGGAGCCUUUUGCCCUUUUCCCCCUCCUUCUAAACUGCGCCUGCGCCUCUGGCAUCCCUCCCAGGACCCACUUACCUUCUUAGGCUGGUCCAUCCUCCUCUUUUCAGAGGCGACGUGUGCUGUGCUUGGCCUCUGGCUCACUGGGGACCAGAAAAACAAAAUAUAUCAUCUGACUGCCCUAUUUUUUCUUUUUUCUUUUUAAAUUCUUUUUGCUUAAGAAUGAAGCAAGCCCUUCCCUGCUAUUCUCAGGAAGAGCUUCAAACAUGGCAGGCCACUGGCAAAAAUAUAUCCUCCUUCUCAGAGGGAAAGAAUGUAACUGUUAACAACAACAAAAAAUCACUGGGAUUUGUGGAGCCUUGGGCUUACGAGCCAGUUCACCUCCAUGCACUCACGUGACACAGCGGCACGUGGAGGCGUCACAUCCAUUUUAGAGAGAGGGAAACUGAGGCUCCAAAAGGCAGGGAUUUCCCCAAGGGCACCACUCUUGGAGUUAGGAUAAGCUGCUGGCUUCGGGGAUGAUGAAAUUUCGUUGCAUUUUGUAUGCAUUUAUUGUGCUGAUUUGUGAAAUACAAAUAUUAAACACAUGCAGCACGUUUGGUAACCCUG